AAAGAAUAGAAAAAGAAUAACACAAGGAAUAAAAUACACAUUGAAUAACGAUAACUUGGCUAUAUACACGGAGUAACAGUACCUAGUCGGUGUGCAGAGGUACGGGGUAAUUGAGGUCGGUAUGUACAGUACAUGUAGCCAGUAGAACAGAUGGCAGUGGGAGUUUACUCCCUCGCCUACGGAUUCUCAGAAGGCAGCCCGACCUGCGCCCCCUUUUCCUCCGUCUUCUCUUCACCCAAAUGACGGGGAUUUGGGCCUGUUCCCGGGAAAGCAGUAUGUCCUUCUCGUCGGACUCGAUAAAGGAAAAAGCUUCUUCCAGUUCGAGAUUGCUGUCAUCUUGCCGUUUUCCUGCUUCACCUCAUCGAGCUGACCCUGGGAGAACUGCAAACUGUUCUUCAAGUCCUGGACCUCUCUGGUCAGGUCGUUUAUUAGUUGAAUCGACCAGUAUUUGGACAAAACACUUGAAGCUAUUUUCUUGUUGUUCUAAUAACUGCGUGUUGAACUCUUUUUGUUUGUUUAAAGAAGUUCACCUGUGAUAGAGAGACUCCACUGUCCUCAACGGUACUACCGCCGGCUUUUAUCUUUGUCAUGGUAGCUAGCAACGUAGUUUACGCUGUUACUCCUCGCAGUUCCAGACAGUGCAGGUCAUAGGGAAGAUUGAACACAAUAAACAGCAGGGAUCUAGACAGCCACAAACCCGGAACAAUCCGCGGUCCCAGACACAAUGGCUAACCUUGUCGCAGGCUGACCAAUCGGAAUCCACGCUUCAAGAUUGUUUUGAUCACGCGGACUGGGAUAUGUUCCGGGUAGCCUCCAAGAAUAAUAUUGACACAUAUAUUGAUAUGGUGACUGAGUUUAUUAGGAAAUGUAUAUGAGAUGUUGUACUCACUGUGACUAUUUAAAACCUACCCAAAUCAGAAACCGUGGAUAGAUGAAAGCGUGAACCAUCGCAUUUAACCAUGUGUUACGGAUACAAGUAUUCUGUGUGUGUAUCCUGUGUGUGUUUCUUUUCUCUCCUUCUCCCCUCACAGGUGAAAAUCAUCACUCCCCAAUCAGACAACAAUCAAUCAUCAAUCAGAAGACACACCUCCUCCUAUUUCCUACCCUAUCACAGUUCCUUUCCCUUGGUUUAAUUAAAAACCCCAUCAUUUGUUUGCUCUAGAGCUCAAUCUCUCUGUAAAUGCCAUGUCUGUAGGUCUCUGUGUUUCACUCUCGCUUUGUGUCUUAACCUCUCUUUUGUUUGAGCACCUCCAUAGCACUUUGUCAUCACCUGUGAGUAUUGUUUUUGGUUAUGGUGUUUGUUUGUGCUGGUGGGAAAAGGGGGAAACCAAGACAAGUCGCCCAUGGGCAUACACUACCCGUAGGUGAACUUUGUUAAAUACACUAGUUAGAACUGGGCGGACCACCCACUGUAUUUUUGGUUAGUUAGUUAGCUGUUGUUAAAGUAGGCUAGUCUAGCUUAGAAGUGUUUUUGUAUAUUGUUUCUUUCCUUGGG
Oncorhynchus tshawytscha (Chinook salmon) is the source of this 1495-nucleotide long non-coding RNA. Lineage: Eukaryota; Metazoa; Chordata; Actinopteri; Salmoniformes; Salmonidae. The record is from Ensembl.